GCUUACGGCCAUACCACGUUGAAAACACACCAUCCCAUCCGAUCUGUCAAGUUAAGCAACGUUGGGCCUCACUAGUUCUUGGAUUGGAGACGGCUUGGGAAUCCCAAGUGCUAAGCA
RNAcentral lists this ribosomal RNA (117 nucleotides) under Anisakis simplex (herring worm). The record is from RNAcentral. Lineage: Eukaryota; Metazoa; Nematoda; Chromadorea; Rhabditida; Anisakidae.